Molecule: ribosomal RNA, 1366 nt
Filed under: uncultured Bordetella sp.
Lineage: Bacteria; Pseudomonadati; Pseudomonadota; Betaproteobacteria; Burkholderiales; Alcaligenaceae
Description: partial 16S-23S ribosomal RNA intergenic spacer
Source: RNAcentral
CUACCUUGUUACGACUUCACCCCAGUCAUGAAUCCUACCGCGCCGGUCGCUAUAUACGGUUGAGCUACUUCCUUCUGGUAAAACCACUCCCAUGGGUGUGACGGGCGGUGUCCCAGACCGGGUGUCUUCACCUGACAUGCUGAUCCGCGUUCACCUAGCGAUUCCGACUACGCAGUCAGGUUGCAGACUGCACGAUCCGGACGCUGAUCGGGUUUCUGGGAUUGGCUCCCCCUCGCGGGUUGGCGACCCUCUGUUACGACCAUUGCGCUGAUGUGGCCCUGCCUGGUGUGAGACUGACGUGUCACGCGCCGGUUUGUCACCGGCAGUCUCAUUAAAGUGCCCUUUGUGGCAACUAAUGACGGGGUUGCCGCUCGUUGCGGGACUCUUAACAUCUCACGGCCCGGCUGACGACGUGUGCGCUCAUGUUCAGUUCUUUGAGCACUCCCAAAUCUAUUUAAGGAUUUAGACAUGUCAAGGUAGAGUAAGGUUUUCGCGUUGCAUCGAAUUAAUCAUCAUCCUGCUUGUGCGGGUCCCCGUCGUGCUGGUUUUAAAUAAACCGUACUCCCCAGGCGGACUUCACGCGUUAGCUGCGCUACCGGAAGCCCAACAGCUAUUGACAUCGUUUGGGCGUGAUUCUGGGGUAUCGUCUCUUUUUGCUCCCACGCUUUCGUGCAUGAGCGUCAGUGUUAUCCCGACUGCGCCGCCAUCGGUGUUCCUCCGCAUAUCCGCAUUCACUGCUACACGCAGGUCCCUCCCUCAACACUCCCGUCAGUGUUCGCAUCCAGUUCCAAAAUUAGCUCAGGGUUCAUCUUUCUUUCCAGACCGCCUGCGCUUUUACGCCAGUAAUUCCGAUUAACGCUUGCCUACGUAUUACCGCGGCUGCUGGCACGUAGUUAGCCGGUCUUAUUCUGGGUACCGUUAGUUGCACGGGGUAUUAUCCCGUGCCGUUUCUUUUCACUGCAAAGUGCUUACAACCGAAGGCCUUCAUCCCUUUUGCGGAUGGCUGGAUCGAGGUUCCCCAUUGUCAAAAUUCCCCCACUGCCUCCGUAGGAGUGUCUGGGCGUCGUCUUGAUUGAUGUGGUGUCUCUCAAACCAGCUGGGAUCGUCACUCGGUGACCGUUACCCCACCAAUAGCUAAUCCGAUAUCGGCCGCUCUAUUAGUGCGAGGCGAAAGGUCCCCGCUUUCCCCCGAAGAAUGUUAUGCGAUAUCCAGCUCACUUUAGCGUGAUUAUCCCCACUACUAGGCACGUUCCGACUACAUUACUCACUGCCGUUCGCCACUCACCACCAGACCAGUCCAUGCUGCCGUUCGACUUGCAUGUGUAAAGCAUCCACGCCAGCGUUCAAUCUGAGCCAUGAUCAAACC